Molecule: ribosomal RNA, 403 nt
Filed under: Verrucomicrobiota bacterium
Lineage: Bacteria; Pseudomonadati; Verrucomicrobiota
Description: Verrucomicrobia bacterium partial 16S ribosomal RNA
Rfam family: Bacterial small subunit ribosomal RNA
Source: RNAcentral
UGGGGAAUAUUGCACAAUGGGGUAAACCCUGAUGCAGCGACGCCGCGUGAGCGAAGAAGGUUUUCGAAUCGUAAAGCUCUGUCCUAUGAGAAGAUAAUGACGGUAUCAUAGGAGGAAGCCCCGGCUAAAUACGUGCCAGCAGCCGCGGUAAUACGUAUGGGGCGAGCGUUUUCCGGAAUUAUUGGGCGUAAAGGGUACGUAGGCGGUCUAUUAAGUCAGGUGUGAAAGCGUGAGGCUUAACCUCAUUAAGCACUUGAAACUGAUAGACUUGAGUGAAGGAGAGGAAAGUGGAAUUCCUAGUGUAGCGGUGAAAUGCGUAUAUAUUAGGAGGAAUACCGGUGGCGAAGGCGACUUUCUGGACUUUUACUGACGCUCAGGUACGAAAGCGUGGGGAGCAAACAGG